Molecule: ribosomal RNA, 510 nt
Filed under: uncultured Actinomycetes bacterium
Lineage: Bacteria; Bacillati; Actinomycetota; Actinomycetes
Description: bacterial SSU rRNA
Rfam family: Bacterial small subunit ribosomal RNA
Source: RNAcentral
UAGGGCGAAAGCCUGACGCAGCAACGCCGCGUGAGGGAUGAAGGCUUUCGGGUUGUAAACCUCUUCAGCAGGGACGAUUGUGACGGUACCUGCAGAAGAAGCCCCGGCCAACUACGUGCCAGCAGCCGCGGUAACACGUAGGGGGCGAGCGUUGUCCGGAUUUAUUGGGCGUAAAGAGCUCGUAGGUGGUUCGGUAAGUCGGGUGUGAAAACUCUGGGCUCAACUCAGAGACGCCACCUGAUACUGCCGUGACUUGAGUCUGGUAGGGGAGUGUGGAAUUCCCGGUGUAGCGGUGAAAUGCGCAGAUAUCGGGAGGAACACCAGUGGCGAAGGCGGCACUCUGGGCCAGUACUGACACUGAGGAGCGAAAGCGUGGGUAGCGAACAGGAUUAGAUACCCUGGUAGUCCACGCCGUAAACGUUGGGCACUAGGUGUGGGUCUCAACCAACGGGAUCCGUGCCGCAGCUAACGCAUUAAGUGCCCCGCCUGGGGAGUACGGCCGCAAGGCUA